UACGGGAGGCAGCAGUGGGGAAUAUUGCACAAUGGGCGCAAGCCUGAUGCAGCCAUGCCGCGUGUAUGAAAAAGGCCUUCGGGUUGUAAAGUACUUUCAGUCGUGAGGAAGGUGUUAAGGUUAAUAACCUUAGCAAUUGACGUUAGCGACAGAAGAAGCACCGGCUAACUCCGUGCCAGCAGCCGUGGUAAUACGGAGGGUGCGAGCGUUAAUCGGAAUUACUGGGCGUAAAGGGCACGCAGGCGGUUAAUUAAGUUGGAUGUGAAAUCCCCGGGCUUAACCUGGGAAUGGCAUUCAAGACUGGUUAGCUAGAGUCUUGUAGAGGGGGUAGAAUUCCAUGUGUAGCGGUGAAAUGCGUAGAGAUGUGGAGGAAUACCGGUGGCGAAGGCGGGCCCCUGGACAAAGACUGACGCUCAUGUGCGAAAGCGUGGGGAGCAAACGAGGGAUUAGAUACC
Molecule: ribosomal RNA, 455 nt
Filed under: uncultured bacterium
Lineage: Bacteria
Description: bacterial SSU rRNA
Rfam family: Bacterial small subunit ribosomal RNA
Source: RNAcentral